This 480-nucleotide ribosomal RNA is filed under the name uncultured bacterium. Its description in RNAcentral is "bacterial SSU rRNA". It matches the Rfam family "Bacterial small subunit ribosomal RNA", at positions 28 to 503 of the family's 1533-position model. The record is from RNAcentral.
GAUGAACGCUAGCGGGAGGCUUAAUACAUGCAAGUCGAGCGGGAUUCUCCUUCGGGAGAUGAGAGCGGCGCACGGGUGAGUAACGCGUACGUAACCUGCCUUACAGAGGGGAAUAGCCCUGGGAAACUGGGAUUAAUACUCCAUAGUAUAUAGAUGGCGCAUGCUGUUUAUAUUAAGGUUGAGGCGCUGUAAGAUGGGCGUGCGGUUGAUUAGGUAGUUGGCGGGGUAACGGCCCACCAAGCCUACGAUCAAUAGCUGAUGUGAGAGCAUGAUCAGCCACACGGGCACUGAGACACGGGCCCGACUCCUACGGGAGGCAGCAGUGGGGAAUAUUGGACAAUGGGGGAAACCCUGAUCCAGCCAUGCCGCGUGUGUGAAGAAGGCCUUUUGGUUGUAAAGCACUUUAAGCAGUGAAGAAGACUCCAUGGUUAAUACCCAUGGACGAUGACAUUAGCUGCAGAAUAAGCAACCGGCUAAACU